GAAUCUUCCGCAAUGGACGAAAGUCUGACGGAGCAACGCCGCGUGAGUGAAGAAGGUUUUCGGAUCGUAAAACUCUGUUGUCGGAGAAGAACAAGUAGGAGAGUAACUGUUCCUACCUUGACGGUACCCGACCAGAAAGCCACGGCUAACUACGUGCCAGCAGCCGCGGUAAUACGUAGGUGGCAAGCGUUGUCCGGAUUUAUUGGGCGUAAAGCGAGCGCAGGUGGUUUCUUAAGUCUGAUGUGAAAGCCCACGGCUCAACCGUGGAAGGUCAUUGGAAACUGGGGAACUUGAAUGCAGAAGAGGAGAGUGGAAUUCCAUGUGUAGCGGUGAAAUGCGUAGAUAUAGGAAGGAACACCAGUGGCGAAGGCGACCACCUGGGCUCAUACUGACACUGAGGUGCGAAAGCGUGGGGAGCAAACA
This 423-nucleotide ribosomal RNA is filed under the name uncultured bacterium. RNAcentral describes it as "bacterial SSU rRNA". It matches the Rfam family "Bacterial small subunit ribosomal RNA", at positions 359 to 774 of the family's 1533-position model. The record is from RNAcentral.